RNAcentral lists this small RNA (125 nucleotides) under Marmota monax (woodchuck). Lineage: Eukaryota; Metazoa; Chordata; Mammalia; Rodentia; Sciuridae. The record is from RNAcentral.
GCUAGGUGUGGUGGUGAAUACCUGUAAUCCCAGAAGCUCAGGAAGCUGAGGCAGGAGUAUCCCGAGUUCAAAGCCAUCCUCAGCGGAAGCAAGGGGCUAAGCAACUCAGUGAGACCCUGUUUCUA